GGGCCAGACUCCUACGGGAGGCAGCAGUGGGGAAUAUUGCACAAUGGGCGAAAGCCUGAUGCAGCGACGCCGCGUGAAGGAUGAAGUAUUUCGGUCUGUAAACUUCUAUCAGCAGGGAAGAAAAUGACGGUACCUGACCAAGAAGCCCCGACUAACUACGUGCCAGCAGCCGCGGUAAUACGUAGGGGGCAAGCGUUAUCCGGAUUUACUGGGUGUAAAGGGAGCGUAGACGGCAGGGCAAGUCUGGAGUGAAAGGCAGGGGCCCAACCCCUGGACUGCUCUGGAAACUGUCCGGCUGGAGUGCAGGAGAGGUAAGUGGAAUUCCUAGUGUAGCGGUGAAAUGCGUAGAUAUUAGGAGGAACACCAGUGGCGAAGGCGGCUUACUGGACUAUAACUGACGUUGAGGCUCGAAAGCGUGGGGAGCAAACAGGAUUAGAUACCCGUGUA
Molecule: ribosomal RNA, 447 nt
Filed under: uncultured bacterium
Lineage: Bacteria
Description: bacterial SSU rRNA
Rfam family: Bacterial small subunit ribosomal RNA
Source: RNAcentral